This is a long non-coding RNA of Scylla paramamosain (green mud crab), 1451 nucleotides long. RefSeq lists it as uncharacterized. Lineage: Eukaryota; Metazoa; Arthropoda; Malacostraca; Decapoda; Portunidae. The transcript is spliced from 2 exons. The record is from RefSeq and is a predicted model, not a curated record.
AUUCAUUGGAUAGCAAUGUUUUAUCCACCAAAAAUAUAAUGUAAAUUCCACUGAAUUCACUUGAAAAUGGUAUUUGUAUAUAUGAUAUUACAAAAACUUAUCCAUUUAUUCUUUUAUCCAGGUUUUGAUAAUCAACACCAGAAGACAACAUAACAAAGCAGAUGAGAAAUUCAUAAUUUCUUGUCCAUGUAAGUACAACAUGAUUGCAUAAUGUUACUACCAAAUAUGACAGAACAACUAAAUGUUAACCUCAAAUAUCCUGACUGUAUUUUUCUUCUCAGCAGGUCAGUGUUCAUGCCAAAAAUUACAAGUAAGAGGAUCUUCUUGCUCAAGCAUAAAUGGCUUAUUUCACAGAUGUGAAAGAAGCAACCUCAUAAACUUUAUUUUGAAUGGUACUGUACCUGCAAAUCAUUCUUCAGUGCAAGUAAGACCUAGAGAAUAUAAGAGGAGGCGUUCCCAGUGUUUGCUUAGGCAGCUUGCAGAGUGUCUCUACACGCGCAAUCUAGGUUUGAAACCUGCUAUCAAGAGUGGCUAUCACUGUGGUGAUCACAUAAAGCCCAUGAUAAACCAGACUGACAGGUUUACAUCACACCCUGAACAAUACAUACAUUACAAUUACAAGCUUGUCAAAGCUAACGAUCAAGAUUUUUGGAUGAUCGAAUCAGAGGACAAAGUGUAUGCAGUAAGCCACAGCACUGGGCCCUGCCCUGACCAGCUGAUGCCUGACUCCAGAACUUGGCUGAGAACUGAUGACAACUUCACUGAAAACAUCACAGUUACCUGUACCACCUGGGAUAGCCCUUUUGAUGAGUGAUCUUUGCAGGUAUAUUGAUGAUGCAAUAUUAACUUUCUUUAUAUCUUGUCAGCCUAAUACGUGAAACAGAUAAGUCUGUCUUUCACACAUACACAACAACAACCAUGAUAAUAAAUUCAUGAAGCAUUCACACACGGUGCCAGACAAUAUACUAAAUCACUAAUAAUUGUAAGACACCAUUUCCCAAUGCAUAUUUAACUUUACAAACUACUUGAAUAUUCACAUUACAACAUUUCACCUUAAAAAUUCUUCCCAAAAACUACAUAUUCAUAAAGUAAUAACUGAAGCAUAAUUAAUUACAAGAUCUGAGUAUUGCUCUUAACAAUGUCAUUCCUAAAUUAUGCCUUUCUUUUUCUUCUAAGCUUUUACAUAAUAAUUUCAAUAAUGUAAGGUAUGUAGUUAUGUGCUAUGCAGAGACAAACUGUUGAGUUUGUCUUCUUUCGCAGUGUUGUCCUUGAUCACCUCAUAGUAACUAGCUAAACAGGUACUGGACAUUAGCCAAGGUUAGCAAUCCUUUCUUACUGUAUGUGUGUAUACUGUACUUGCUUGAACAGGAGAAAAAGUCUAUACCACAUCCUAAGUGGUAAACAACAAACUGAAAAAAUAAAAAUAAAUGAAGUAUAAAAAAAAAAAAAAA